CUACGGGCCGCUCCAGUGGGGAAUAUUGGACAAUGGGCGCAAGCCUGAUCCAGCAAUACCGCGUGUGUGAAGAAGGCCUGCGGGUUGUAAAGCACUUUCAAUUGUGAAGAAAAGCGAGAGGUUAAUAGCCUUUUGUCUUGACGUUAACUUUAGAAGAAGCACCGGCGAACUCUGUGCCAGCAGCCGCGGUGAAUACAGAGGGUGCGAGCGUUAAUCGGAAUUACUGGGCGUAAAGCGUGCGUAGGCGGUUUAGUAAGUCAGAUGUGAAAGCCCUGGGCUCAACCUGGGAACUGCAUUUGAAACUGCUGAACUAGAGUGUGGUAGAGGGAAGUGGAAUUCCGGGUGUAGCGGUGAAAUGCGUAGAUAUCCGGAGGAACACCAGUGGCGAAGGCGACUUCCUGGACCAACACUGACGCUGAGGUACGAAAGCGUGGGUAGCAAACAGGAUUAGAUACCCCUGUAGUC
RNAcentral lists this ribosomal RNA (465 nucleotides) under uncultured bacterium. RNAcentral describes it as "partial 16S ribosomal RNA". It matches the Rfam family "Bacterial small subunit ribosomal RNA", at positions 339 to 795 of the family's 1533-position model. The record is from RNAcentral.